UCAACCGUGGCUAUGAACUUGGAGCAUGCCAGCUCCACUUCACUUAGACAUUCCCAAAAAUAUGAGCAUAGGAAAAAUACUCAAAGAAUUUGAAUUUUAUUGAAAUCAUACAGCAGACAAAAGAAAAUGAAACAAAGAAAAUACCUGUAGGCUGAUUUGUUGCUAUAGAUUUCUUCCCAUUCUCCAGUAUGGAAAUUUAUUUUAUUCAUUAAUAUUUAUCUUUGAGGCAUAUGUAUAAGUUAUUACUUCAGCUUUUUAAAUUUUAGUUAGCAUGUUAUGAAUAAAAUAUUUGCCCUAUCUGCAAUUUUAUCUUGUACUGUAUUUCUAAUAGGAUAACUAAUUUGGCUUUUUUUCUUAACUCAAGCCUCCCUUUUAUAGUAUGAUUUAAAAUCCCUUACAAGUCACUUCAUAAUUUCCAGUUCUUUUCAGAAGUGUACUUUACCCUGCUCUUCUUUCUGCUUGCU
This 464-nucleotide long non-coding RNA is filed under the name Bos taurus (domestic cattle). RNAcentral's name for it is "long non-coding RNA NONBTAT019705". The record is from RNAcentral. Lineage: Eukaryota; Metazoa; Chordata; Mammalia; Artiodactyla; Bovidae.